Molecule: ribosomal RNA, 663 nt
Filed under: Triticum aestivum (bread wheat)
Lineage: Eukaryota; Viridiplantae; Streptophyta; Magnoliopsida; Poales; Poaceae
Description: partial small subunit ribosomal RNA
Source: RNAcentral
AUGUUUCAGCAGAAAAGAUGCAAGUUUUCUCUCGUCUCGGCCUUCGCCCGUUGUCAGUCAGAGACACCGCCCCUUCUGCCCCCUCCUCUCCGGCGACCCCUUGAAAAAAAAAACCUGCUCUCCGGCGGUUCUCCCCCGCUCCCAAACGCCGCUGUCCAGUCUCGCCCGGGCCCGAUGGAUCGUCGGAGGGUUCGACGCUUAGGGGCUGCCAUGCACCCCCUCCUCGCAGCUGCGGCCAGUGACGGUGCCACUCCCAGCACCGCCGCCGCCUCUCAAACCCGCGGCGGGAGCUCCGCAAGUGCCGUCAGGCUCGACGUCGAAGCUGACAUCGACCAGGGGACAUCAUACUUUGCUGAUGAGCAGCACAAGAGGGUGGCAUCUGGGAGCUCUUCAGCGAGGCUCAGCGGAAAGAAACACCAGGAAGGCGUGAAGAGUACAGAAGAACUAGGCUACAACAGACUGUACAGAAGAAUUAGGCUACAACAGAAGCUCGUACUAUGGAUCAACACAGACAUGUCUCUUUCUCAAGUUCUUGGCGACAUCAAGAAUGACCGUUCCUGGUGGGGUUUGCGGAUGAAGGAUGCAGUGGCAAACGGUUUAUCAUGGGAUGCAAAGUGCUAUGCAAUACAUUGGGAAGCUUAUUCAUGUAUAAGGAAGCUCUGA